RNAcentral lists this ribosomal RNA (496 nucleotides) under uncultured bacterium. RNAcentral's name for it is "partial 16S ribosomal RNA". It matches the Rfam family "Bacterial small subunit ribosomal RNA", at positions 29 to 507 of the family's 1533-position model. The record is from RNAcentral.
AUGAACGCUGGCGGCGUGCCUAAUACAUGCAAGUCGAGCGAACGGACGAGAAGCUUGCUUCUCUGAUGUUAGCGGCGGACGGGUGAGUAACACGUGGAUAACCUACCUAUAAGACUGGGAUAACUUCGGGAAACCGUAGCUAAUACCGGAUAAUAUUUUGAACCGCAUGGUUCAAAAGUGAAAGACGGUCUUGCUGUCACUUAUAGAUGGAUCCGCGCUGCAUUAGCUAGUUGGUAAGGUAACGGCUUACCAAGGCAACGAUGCAUAGCCGACCUGAGAGGGUGAUCGGCCACACUGGAACUGAGACACGGUCCAGACUCCUACGGGAGGCAGCAGUAGGGAAUCUUCCGCAAUGGGCGAAAGCCUGACGGAGCAACGCCGCGUGAGUGAUGAAGGUCUUCGGAUCGUAAAACUCUGUUAUUAGGGAAGAACAUAUGUGUAAGAAACUGUGCACAUCUUGACGGUACCUAAUCGGAAAGCCACGGCUAACUACGUG